This 65-nucleotide non-coding RNA is filed under the name Streptomyces sp. The record is from RNAcentral. Lineage: Bacteria; Bacillati; Actinomycetota; Actinomycetes; Kitasatosporales; Streptomycetaceae. RNAcentral also lists the same sequence under 1 other name.
UCUUUGCUACGGUGGUGGGACCCCGACGAGACGCGCCGUACCGGGCUUCGCAAAGACGACGCACC